Lynx canadensis (Canada lynx) is the source of this 1171-nucleotide long non-coding RNA. RefSeq lists it as uncharacterized. Lineage: Eukaryota; Metazoa; Chordata; Mammalia; Carnivora; Felidae. The transcript has 2 exons. The record is from RefSeq and is a predicted model, not a curated record.
GCGGGGCGAGCGGGGCGAGCGGGGCGGGGGUGCGAGCCGGGAGAGGCACGACCCGGGGCCGUAGGCGGGGUGGUCUUUCCCGCGGAGUGGCCGCCAGAAGACGGAAAGUUUUUGCAUGCAGUCCUUCCAGCGUGUCCUUCCCUCGCCGGCUCCCUGUGGUCCACCGUGAGGCGCCCCCGCGACCGAGAGGGGAGGAGCCGCUCAGGUGUUCCCCCCUGCCCCCCGACGAGCAUCCCAAAUCCAGGGAGGGGACCCUGGUGACCUCUCCUCCCAGCCACCGCUCCCUUCACCCUUUCUUCUCUGUCUCGGUGGACCUUGGACCGUGGAGGAUUCCGGGGAUGCCUUUGGGAGCUGACAUCAAUGGGUAGAUGGAAGUGGUUCUAAAAAGCAGAGAAUGAACACCUAACCCUCAGCAACCUCUUUGCCAUCGUGGGCUUUUUUCCUCACACAGGCAUCCAGUCAGAGUGUGGCAGGGCUGGGAGACCUGUCAUCCAUCGCUAUGAAGAAAAAGGGUCUUUUUCCUUCCAAUGGAUGAAAGCCAAAUUAUGUUAUUGGAGGAAUACUAUUUGUAGAAUCAAAGGAAAUAGCUAUGGUUGUUACGCAAUAAUCAAGUAAUACGGUCACCUCUUUCUUACUCUCUGAAUCCUUUUACAGACCAUUGCUUACCUACUCUAAUGGGAAAGUUGAUCAGUGCCGAGGCACCCAUGCUAGAUAGCCCUUAUUAUUCCCAACUUACAGAUGAUGAAAUUGAAGCGGAGAGCAGAAGUAAAAUGAAACAUGGUUCCCUCCUGGUUUCUUAAAUUCCAGAGUUAUCAAACACCUGGCCACGGCUAUUGCAUAGGUUGUGCACUGUAAAACUGUGCCGCAGUUAAGGGAGUGCCAUUCACAGCACAGACACCAUAGAUUUAUCAUGACAACUUUCUAGACAGAUGGCAUGAACGUGGCUUGUUCUAACAAAAUCAGGACCAUAAGACUAUUUUGUAAAUAGAAGUAAAGUUUCUUGAAGAAAGUGGGCCUUCCUCUAAUGCCCACGAAGGCACUAGAUGGACUAGGAGAAAAGAAGGAGAGUUAUUGAUAACUCUUCAUACACGUUAGCAGUUUCAGCUGGGAGUUGUAUGGGAAACAUGGUGCCUUGUGUGAUGGAAUAAAUAAAACGAUCUUGCUGUGUAAA